UGGGGAAUAUUGCACAAUGGAGGGAACUCUGAUGCAGCGACGCCGCGUGAACGAAGAAGGCUUUCGAGUCGUAAAGUUCUUUUAUAUGGGAAGAUAAUGACGGUACCAUAAGAAGAAGCCCCGGCUAACUACGUGCCAGCAGCCGCGGGAAUACGUAGGGGGCUAGCGUUGUCCGGAAUCACUGGGCGUAAAGGGUUCGCAGGCGGAAAUGCAAGUCAGGUGUAAAAGGCAGUAGCUUAACUACUGUAAGCAUUUGAAACUGCAUAUCUUGAGAAGAGUAGAGGUAAGUGGAAUUUUUAGUGUAGCGGUGAAAUGCGUAGAUUUUAAAAAGAAUACCGGUGGCGAAGGCGACUUACUGGGCUCAUUCUGACGCUGAGGAACGAAAGCGUGGGUAGCAAACAGG
This 403-nucleotide ribosomal RNA is filed under the name bacterium. Its description in RNAcentral is "partial 16S ribosomal RNA". It matches the Rfam family "Bacterial small subunit ribosomal RNA", at positions 355 to 776 of the family's 1533-position model. The record is from RNAcentral.